This 814-nucleotide ribosomal RNA is filed under the name uncultured archaeon. RNAcentral's name for it is "bacterial SSU rRNA". It matches the Rfam family "Archaeal small subunit ribosomal RNA", at positions 4 to 817 of the family's 1478-position model. The record is from RNAcentral.
UCGGUUGAUCCUGCCGGAGGUUACUGCUAUCGGAGUUCGAUUAAGCCAUGCGAGUCUAAAGGUUUCUUCGGAAACCUUGGCGGACUGCUCAGUAACACGUGGAUAACCUACCCUUGGGACUGGAAUAACCCCGGGAAACUGGGGAUAAUACCGGAUAGAUCAGGGAUGCUGGAAUGCACCUUGAUCCAAAGCUCCGGCGCCCAAGGAUGGGUCUGCGGCCUAUCAGGUAGUAGUGGGUGUAACGUACCUACUAGCCAACGACGGGUACGGGUUGUGAGAGCAAGAGCCCGGAGAUGGAUUCUGAGACACGAAUCCAGGCCCUACGGGGUGCAGCAGGCGCGAAACCUUUACAAUGUGCGAAAGCAUGAUAAGGGAACUCCGAGUGCCAGCAUCUAAUGUUGGCUGUCCUUGUGCCUAAAACGCACAAGAUAGCAAGGGCCGGGUAAGACCGGUGCCAGCCGCCGCGGUAACACCGGCGGCCCGAGUGGUAGCCGCUAUUAUUGGGUCUAAAGGGUCCGUAGCCGGUUCGAUAAGUCCUCUGGGAAAUCUGGUUGCUUAACAAUCAGACUGCCAAGGGAUACUGUCGAACUUGAGACCGGGAGAGGUAAGAGGUACUUCAGGGGUAGGAGUGAAAUCUUGUAAUCCCUGGGGGANCAUCUGUGGCGAANGCGUCUUACCAGAACGGGUCUGACGGUGAGGGACGAAAGCUGGGGGCGCAAACCGGAUUAGAUACCCGGGUAGUCCCAGCCGUAAACGAUGCUCGCUAUGUGUCNGGNACGGUGUGACCGUAUCUGGUGCCGUANGGAANCCGUGA